RNAcentral lists this small nuclear RNA (301 nucleotides) under Octodon degus (degu). RNAcentral describes it as "7SK RNA (ENSODEG00000024529.1)". It matches the Rfam family "7SK RNA". Rfam says of the family: 7SK was discovered as an abundant small nuclear RNA in the mid-70s but a possible function has only recently been suggested. The record is from Rfam by way of RNAcentral. Lineage: Eukaryota; Metazoa; Chordata; Mammalia; Rodentia; Octodontidae.
GGCUGUGAGGGCGAUCUGGCUGUGACAUCUCUCACCCCAUUGAUCGCCAGGGUUCAUUCAGCUGAUCUGGCUGGCUAGGCGGUGUCCCCUUCCUCCCUCAACGAUCCAUGUGCGUCCCUCCCGAAGCUGCGCGCUCUGUCGAAGAGGACGACCACCCCCGAUAGAGGAGGACCAUUCCUCGCUCAAGGGUAUACAAGUAGCCGCGCUCCCCUGCUAGAACCUCCAAACAAGCUCUCAAAGUCCAUUUGUGGAGACAUACCUAAGUUGUGUCAAAGUUAAGGAAAGACAUUUAUCAACAAAU